UACACCUGAGCUUUUUCUGCUGUGAGAAAGGUUCAUGUGUUGUAGGAGGAAACUCUUGACUUUUUCACCACGGUUUAUAAAAUUAAUUUAUUCCAAGUGAGGAAGAAAAGGAACAUUUAUUUUCAGAGGAUGAACCAACGUCUGCAGGUGAAACAACAGAGCUGAUCCGGCUCGUCAUGAAAUGUGGCUGAAAGCUCCAGAAGAAGGGACAUUGUGGUCUCCAUGGUGACAGAGGUCAUGUGGCUGAGCUCAUAUUUUGUUUUGGCGGCACCUGAAGGUUGCUCGGUGUCCUAUUGAUCACAUUCUUCAUAUAUAUUAUAUUUCUAUUAUAACACAUCUGUCGUCCUAGGAGAGGGAUCCUCUGUUGCUCUUCACGAGCGGAGCCACGAUGAAGCUGGUCUGGCCCAGCGGGGUCCAGUGGUGCAGCACCCUCAGCGUCCACACGCCGGGCCUCAGCGG
Molecule: long non-coding RNA, 459 nt
Organism: Thunnus maccoyii (southern bluefin tuna)
Lineage: Eukaryota; Metazoa; Chordata; Actinopteri; Scombriformes; Scombridae
Exons: 4
Source: RefSeq, a predicted model, not a curated record